Molecule: ribosomal RNA, 420 nt
Filed under: uncultured bacterium
Lineage: Bacteria
Description: bacterial SSU rRNA
Rfam family: Bacterial small subunit ribosomal RNA
Source: RNAcentral
AACGAACGCUGGCGGCAGGCUUAACACAUGCAAGUCGAACGCCCCGCAAGGGGAGUGGCAGACGGGUGAGUAACGCGUGGGAAUCUACCCAGUUCUACGGAACAACUGAGGGAAACUUCAGCUAAUACCGUAUACGCCCUACGGGGGAAAGAUUUAUCGGAAUUGGAUGAGCCCGCGUUGGAUUAGCUAGUUGGUGAGGUAACGGCCCACCAAGGCGACGAUCCAUAGCUGGUCUGAGAGGAUGAUCAGCCACACUGGGACUGAGACACGGCCCAGACUCCUACGGGAGGCAGCAGUGGGGAAUAUUGGACAAUGGGCGCAAGCCUGAUCCAGCCAUGCCGCGUGAGUGAUGAAGGCCUUAGGGUUGUAAAGCUCUUUCAGUGGGGACGAUAAUGAGCGUACCCACAGAAGAAGCCCCGG